UUUCAAUAGUCGUCUGCUGUAGUUUUUGUCAGUUUAACCCAAGGUUUAACCUGAGUUGUCGCCAAUUGAUAGCUGUCAGAAUCCUUGAUUAUAUUCUAUUCAAGCUUAUUUUCAUGGUGAAAGUUUUCUUCGUAAAUUUGUUAGUUGUGUUUCUUUUAAUGUUCUAAACGACUGUCUUUUGUCAUUUGUUUUCAAAUGAAUAAUUAUGUAUGUGAAGCAGACGAUAUGUUUUCUUUUCUAAGAAACUUGUUGUAGACAUCUGUUUUUUCCUUAAUUUGGAAAGGUGUGUUACCUGAAAAGAUGUUUUUCACUGGAGGAGCUGGGUAUAUCGGAAGCCCCUGUGUAGUUAAGCUUAUGGAAUUGGCUAUCUGGUUAUUUCUUGCGAGAAGUUUGGGAAGAUUGGCUGUUUCUGGAAGUGAUAGCAUUCAGCUAAGCCGAGUAAUAAAAGAAAUAACCUUAAAUUGCCAUGGAAUAAGUCAUUGGAAAGAAUAAUUCACUAUACAGUAGCAAAGAAGUUAACGGCGAAGAAGUUAAAUCUCAAGAACAGAGCUGAGAAAGGCCCAAUUGAUAAUUCUCCUAGCAAAGAUUCAUCAAGUAGUUCAUUCAGGGCUGAUAAAGAGAAGUCAAAGUUGCAGAAGGAGCUGUUGUCUUCUGUUGUCUCUGCAGUCGAGCUUAUGUCUCAAGUUGAGUCAGCCUACAAAGAAAGGGCCAAUUAAAACAUACACCAAGAAGGUAGAAAAGUUAGAGUUGCACGUUCACGAGUACACACUCUAAGUGGAAGAGCUCAACAGCAUAUUAUCGACAUCAGCAGCCACAAAACUCGUUUGAAAACAUUGAACCAAGGAAGUUCGAUAGCUGAAAUUCAGCUACGAAAAUAUCAGCUAUUUAAAGACCAACUCAGCUCAAGCCAAAUCAAUUCGAACAUCUGCGUCGUCGCUUUGAAGACAAAGAACGCAUCCAAGUACGAGCAAGCCUGCACUUUUCACACCGAAGAGAUCGAAGAAAUCAUGCGCAAAUUUCACAUCCAGGUUACAUAACUGAAAAACAGAUCAGCGCAUUGAUUUCCAAAUGCUCAGGUUUGGAGAAGAGGACGUCACGUCUACAGAGUGAGAUGGAUUCCGACAUACUCGAGAGUGGCUGCAUUGCAAUCGAAAAGAAAUUUCGCAGCACUCAGCCAGUUCCUCCAACGCUAUCACCUCGGUCGAGCGAUCAGCAAACGGGCGAAUGGAAGUUGGUUGUGCCAAUGUCCAAGCGGUGAUGCGACGUUGGUGUUGCUGUUCUUAGCGACUUAUUGCUUUAUGCCGUUGGUGGCCAUGACGGUCAGUCGUAUAUCUAAAUAGCAAAGAACACUACGAUCCUUAAACCAACUUGGUCGUCUGAGGUAGCGCCCACAUGCCGCACGUGUGUCGGUGUAGCUGUUCUCUAUGGUUAUCUGUGUGCCGUUGGUGGCCAGGAUGGCGUCAGUUGUCUUAAAUAUGUUGAACGCUACGACCCAAAAGAAAAUAAAUGGAGUAAAGUCGCCUGUAUGAACACUUGCCGAUUAGUUGUAGCUGUUGCCGUCCUGGGUGGAUACUUGUAUGCUGUGAGUGGGUCAGAUGGCCAGAUUCCUCUUAACACUAUGGGAAAAUACGAUCCACGUCAAAACAAAUGGACUUUGGUUGCUCCAAUGUCGACAAGAAAAAAGCAGUUGGGUUGCGCCGUGUACAACAACUGAAUCUAUGCCGUAGGUGGACGAGACGACACCACUGAACUCUCGUCAGCUGAGAGCUACAAUCCUAACACCAACACAUGCCAGUCCCAUAUUGGCAAUGAGCUCAAGAAUGAGUGGCGUCGGACUUGCCGUAGUCAAUGGACAGCUAUACGCAGUAGGUCGAUUGAAGUCUACAAUCCGGAGCAGAAUCAAUGGCGACUGUGUGUCACCGUAAUUAUCGGUGGCUCGGCGGUGGUGUGGUCCUUGUUAAAUGCCUCAACACGAAACUCACUUGUGGUAACAAGAGCCGCAAUCUGACUUGAAAAUAAACCAGCCGAAGUUGCGUACCAACUUCGCCGGUAGGUAGUGUACAUUAUAAAAGUCUUUGAGUUGUUGCUUUUCCCCAAAAAUCCUAUUAUUCUAUGUAUUUUUUUUUGUUUGAAAACUGAGCUUUAUUGGUUUUAGUUAAUUGCUUUUAGCUAUAGCAGUAACAUUUCAAAGCUUUUUUGGGGGGCUAUGAUGUUUGUCCAACAAUAAAAAAAUGUCCAGGCUUUAAACUCUUGACUGAUUUCAAUUUCCUUUAAGACCACGAAAACACGA
This is a long non-coding RNA of Daphnia pulex (common water flea), 2290 nucleotides long. RefSeq lists it as uncharacterized. The transcript is spliced from 11 exons. NCBI's taxonomy places the organism in Eukaryota, Metazoa, Arthropoda, Branchiopoda, Diplostraca, Daphniidae. The record is from RefSeq and is a predicted model, not a curated record.